RNAcentral lists this ribosomal RNA (450 nucleotides) under uncultured bacterium. RNAcentral describes it as "bacterial SSU rRNA". It matches the Rfam family "Bacterial small subunit ribosomal RNA", at positions 355 to 825 of the family's 1533-position model. The record is from RNAcentral.
UAGGGAAUAUUGCACAAUGGAGGAAACUCUGAUGCAGCGACGCCGCGUGAGUGAUGAAGGCCUUCGGGUCGUAAAGCUCUGUCGUAUGGGACUAACACAAUGAAGGUACCAUGCAAGAAAGGAUCGGCUAACUUCGUGCCAGCAGCCGCGGUAAGACGAGGGAUCCUAGCGUUGUUCGGAAUUAUUGGGCGUAAAGCGGGUGUAGGUGGACUUAUAAGUCAGGUGUGAAAUCCCAGGGCUCAACCCUGGAAGUGCACUUGAUACUGCAAGUCUUGAGUGUGGUAGAGGCUAUUAGAAUUCUUGGUGUAGUGGUGAAAUACGUAGAUAUCAAGAGGAAUACCGGAGGCGAAGGCGGAUAGCUGGGCCAACACUGACACUGAGACCCGAAAGCGUGGGGAUCAAACAGGAUUAGAUACCCCGGUAGUCCCUGAGCGGGCUGGCAAGGCGCAU